ACCUGCAUGAAAUUUCCGGAUCCGCGGUUAAAGUCUCGAUUAAACGUAAUAGAAUCAAACAAUCACCAACAUUACAUUACAAUAACUCUUAUAAAUUAUUUCGACACUUAUUAUUGCAAAUGGAAGGUGAGAACAAAUAAUAAACCUAACAAUCAUCACUUUAAUUCUUUCUCUAAAUCUAAUAAGUAAAUAAAAAGUUAGAAAAUAAUGUAGUGAAUAAUAAAAAAAACAGGCUACAUUUUUCCCACUUGCAUCCACUUAACAACAACGAAAUUGAAGAAUGAAAGGAAAUAAUUGAUUUUCUAUUAUUUUCCAAACACACAUUUUUUAUGCAGUUUCUGUAAUUUCUUUUCAUCAAGAGAACGCAUCCUAAUGAACACAUAAUCAUAAUCCCAUAUAUUCAUACAUUUAAUCUAAACUCAAAGCAAACAAACAACAAAAUUAAAACGAAUAGUGAAAAUGGGUCAUCGUACGGAUACCAACCUUGGAAACGGCGGCAGCGGACGAAUAAUGUUUUAAAAUCGGAACACAAAUGUGUGGCGACGGUAUUUCUGGUGAUGGCCGGAGACGGAACAGUUGAAGGCGAGGUUUUGCUGGCGGAUGUAGAACUUGAAGGAUGACGGAGAUGUUUAACGGUGUGUCAUGCGGUGGUAUUUUGUUGUGGUUCGGAGGAUUCACGGUGAUGAUGAAGAUGGUGGUGGAUAUUGGAAGAUUGACGGAGGUUCCGGCGGAAGGGCGAUGUUGGUGGCUGGAGGCAAAAAGAGAAAAGUCGUGCGUUUUUUGGGGAAGAAGAGGAACAAUAUUGUUCCUCUCUUUUCUUUCUUAUUUCCUUUUUUUUAAUUAUUUUAUCCUUUUCUUUUGGUGAGAGAGCAUAAGUUAAUUUGUGAGUGGCCAAUGGAAAUG
Molecule: long non-coding RNA, 903 nt
Filed under: Lathyrus oleraceus (garden pea)
Lineage: Eukaryota; Viridiplantae; Streptophyta; Magnoliopsida; Fabales; Fabaceae
Description: Pisum sativum (pea) long non-coding RNA (PSAT_LNC024562)
Source: RNAcentral